UCCAGACUCCUACGGGAGGCAGCAGUGAGGAAUAUUGGUCAAUGGGCGAGAGCCUGAACCGGCCAAGUCGCGUGAGGGACGACGGCCCUACGGGUUGUAAACCUCUUUUGCCGGGGGACAAACGGCGGCACGCGUGCCGUCCUGAGGGUACCCGGAGAAAAAGCAUCGGCUAACUCCGUGCCAGCAGCCGCGGUAAUACGGAGGAUGCGAGCGUUAUCCGGAUUUAUUGGGUUUAAAGGGUGCGUAGGCGGGAUGCCAAGUCAGCGGUAAAAUCGGGGGGCUCAACCUGCGUCCGCCGUUGAAACUGGCGUUCUUGAGUGGGCGAGAAGUACGCGGAAUGCGUGGUGUAGCGGUGAAAUGCAUAGAUAUCACGCAGAACCCCGAUUGCGAAGGCAGCGUACCGGCGCCCGACUGACGCUGAGGCACGAAAGCGUGGGGAUCGAACAGGAUUAGAUACCCCGGUA
This 464-nucleotide ribosomal RNA is filed under the name uncultured bacterium. RNAcentral's name for it is "partial 16S ribosomal RNA". It matches the Rfam family "Bacterial small subunit ribosomal RNA", at positions 330 to 792 of the family's 1533-position model. The record is from RNAcentral.